UUCCGGUUGAUCCUGCCAGAGGUUACUGCUAUCGAGGUUCGACUAAGCCAUGCGAGUCGAAUGUAGCAAUACAUGGCGUACUGCUCAGUAACACGUGGACAACCUACCCUUUGGACGGGGAUAAACCCGGGAAACUGGGUAUAAUACCCGAUAGAUCUGAGAAGCUGGAAUGCUCUCAGAUUGAAAGCUCCGGCGCCAAAGGAUGGGUCUGCGGCCUAUCAGGUAGUAGUGGGUGUAGCGUACCUACUAGCCUACGACGGGUACGGGUUGUGAGAACAAGAGCCCGGAGAUGGAUUCUGAGACACGAAUCCAGGCCCUACGGGGUGCAGCAGGCGCAAAAACUUU
This 345-nucleotide ribosomal RNA is filed under the name uncultured Methanotrichaceae archaeon. RNAcentral's name for it is "bacterial SSU rRNA". It matches the Rfam family "Archaeal small subunit ribosomal RNA", at positions 1 to 351 of the family's 1478-position model. The record is from RNAcentral. Lineage: Archaea; Methanobacteriati; Methanobacteriota; Methanomicrobia; Methanotrichales; Methanotrichaceae.